UUGCUAUCUGCGAUAUGGAAGAUUCGAACCUGCCGCAGGUUCGGGUCUCACGUAGUGAGACAACGGAGCCGUUUACGGCGACGGCCCGAAGGGCGAGGCGAAGCCGAGUCAUCCUGCACGACCCACCA
Molecule: small RNA, 128 nt
Filed under: Salmonella enterica
Lineage: Bacteria; Pseudomonadati; Pseudomonadota; Gammaproteobacteria; Enterobacterales; Enterobacteriaceae
Also listed under: 5 other names
Description: RtT sRNA
Rfam family: RtT RNA
About the family: This family represents a bacterial cis-regulatory element known as RtT RNA. The exact function of RtT is unknown although it is thought that it may be involved in changing the cellular response in relation to amino acid starvation.
Source: RNAcentral